This 276-nucleotide ribosomal RNA is filed under the name uncultured bacterium. RNAcentral describes it as "partial 16S ribosomal RNA". It matches the Rfam family "Bacterial small subunit ribosomal RNA", at positions 524 to 799 of the family's 1533-position model. The record is from RNAcentral.
UACGUAGGGUGCAAGCGUUAAUCGGAAUUACUGGGCGUAAAGCGUGCGCAGGCGGUUUUGUAAGUUUGUCGUGAAAUCCCCGGGCUCAACCUGGGAAUGGCGAUGAAGACUGCAAGGCUAGAAUCUGGCAGAGGGGGGUAGAAUUCCACGUGUGAGCAGUGAAAUGCGUAGAGAUGUGGAGGAACACCGAUGGCGAAGGCAGCCCCCUGGGUCAAGAUUGACGCUCAUGCACGAAAGCGUGGGGAGCAACAGGAUACGAACCGUAGUAAGACCAUG